This 433-nucleotide ribosomal RNA is filed under the name uncultured bacterium. Its description in RNAcentral is "partial 16S ribosomal RNA". It matches the Rfam family "Bacterial small subunit ribosomal RNA", at positions 29 to 507 of the family's 1533-position model. The record is from RNAcentral.
AGCGAACGCUGGCGGCAGGCCUAACACAUGCAAGUCGAACGAACUCUUCGGGGUUAGUGGCGGACGGGUGAGUAACACGUGGGAACGUGCCUUUUGGUUCGGAAUAACUCAGGGAAACUUGUGCUAAUACCGAAUGUGCCCUUCGGGGGAAAGAUUUAUCGCCAUUAGAGCGGCCCGCGUCUGAUUAGCUAGUUGGUGAGGUAACGGCUCACCAAGGCGACGAUCAGUAGCUGGUCUGAGAGGAUGACCAGCCACACUGGGACUGAGACACGGCCCAGGCUCCUACGGGAGGCAGCAGUGGGGAAUCUUGCGCAAUGGGCGAAAGCCUGACGCAGCCAUGCCGCGUGAAUGAUGAAGGUCUUAGGAUUGUAAAAUUCUUUCACCGGGGGCGAUAAUGACGGUACCCGGAGAAGAAGCCCCGGCUAACUUCGUG